AAUCUGCCAGCUUCCACAGUGGCAGAUUUUCCCAUAGUGGGAAGCUGGCAGAUUC
MicroRNA precursor from Gorilla gorilla gorilla (western lowland gorilla), 55 nucleotides. NCBI's taxonomy places the organism in Eukaryota, Metazoa, Chordata, Mammalia, Primates, Hominidae. The record is from Ensembl.